RNAcentral lists this ribosomal RNA (474 nucleotides) under Ctenochaetus cyanocheilus. RNAcentral describes it as "partial small subunit ribosomal RNA". It matches the Rfam family "Bacterial small subunit ribosomal RNA", at positions 788 to 1491 of the family's 1533-position model. The record is from RNAcentral. Lineage: Eukaryota; Metazoa; Chordata; Actinopteri; Acanthuriformes; Acanthuridae.
CACUAUGCCUAGCCUUAAACAUUGAUGAUAACUUACAAUUGCCAUCCGCCUGGGGACUACGAGCACCAGCUUAAAACCCAAAGGACUUGGCGGUGCUUUAGACCCACCUAGAGGAGCCUGUUCUAGAACCGAUAACCCCCGUUCAACCUCACCCUUCCUUGUUCUUCCCGCCUAUAUACCACCGUCGUCAGCUUACCCUGUGAAGGGCUAAUAGUAAGCAAAACUGGCAAAGCCCAAAACGUCAGGUCGAGGUGUAGCGUAUGGAAGGGGAAGAAAUGGGCUACAUUCACUAACUCAGUGUACACGAAUGACACCCUGAAACACGUGUCUGAAGGAGGAUUUAGCAGUAAGUAGAAAAUAGAGUGUUCUACUGAAACUGGCCCUGAAGCGCGCACACACCGCCCGUCACUCUCCCCGAGCUAAGACUCUCAAGUAAAUAAACAACUACAACUGCAAAGGGGAGGCAAGUCGUAA